GCCACUGCUAUUGGGGUUCGGCUAAGCCAUGCGAGUGGAGGGCGUCCCGCAAGGGAUGGCCCCGCAGACGGCUCAGUAACACGUCGUCAACCCACCUCAGGGUGGGGGACAACCUCGGGAAACUGAGGAUAAUCCCCCAUAGGCGGGGGAGGCUAGAAUGCGCCCCCGCUGAAAGCUCAGGCGCCCUAGGACGGGACGGCGGCCUAUCAGGUAGUUGGUGGUGUGACG
RNAcentral lists this ribosomal RNA (228 nucleotides) under uncultured archaeon. Its description in RNAcentral is "partial 16S ribosomal RNA". It matches the Rfam family "Archaeal small subunit ribosomal RNA", at positions 23 to 246 of the family's 1478-position model. The record is from RNAcentral.